This 337-nucleotide unclassified non-coding RNA is filed under the name soil metagenome. Its description in RNAcentral is "partial contains 5.8S ribosomal RNA, internal transcribed spacer 2, and large subunit ribosomal RNA". The stretch from base 1 to 120 matches the Rfam family "5.8S ribosomal RNA", at positions 35 to 154 of the family's 154-position model. The record is from RNAcentral.
GAUGAAGAACGCAGCGAAAUGCGAUAAGUAGUGUGAAUUGCAGAAUUCAGUGAAUCAUCGAAUCUUUGAGCGCACAUUGCGCCCGCCAGUAUUCUGGCGGGCAUGCCUGUUCGAGCAUCAUUUCAACCAUCAAGCCCCCGGGCUUGUGUUGGGGACCUGCGGCUGCCGCAGGCCCUGAAAAGCAGUGGCGGGCUCGCUGUCACACCGAGCGUAGUAGAUUUUAUCUCGCUCUGGGCGUGCUGCGGGUUCCGGCCGUUAAACCACCCUUUUAACCCAAGGUUGACCUCGGAUCAGGUAGGAAGACCCGCUGAACUUAAGCAUAUCAAUAAGCGGAGGA